This 466-nucleotide ribosomal RNA is filed under the name uncultured bacterium. Its description in RNAcentral is "partial 16S ribosomal RNA". It matches the Rfam family "Bacterial small subunit ribosomal RNA", at positions 28 to 505 of the family's 1533-position model. The record is from RNAcentral.
GACGAACGCUGGCGGCGUGCUUAACACAUGCAAGUCGAACGGAAAGGCCCUGCUUUUGUGGGGUGCUCGAGUGGCGAACGGGUGAGUAACACGUGAGUAACCUGCCCUUGACUUUGGGAUAACUUCAGGAAACUGGGGCUAAUACCGGAUAGGAGCUCCUGCUGCAUGGUGGGGGUUGGAAAGUUUCGGCGGUUGGGGAUGGACUCGCGGCUUAUCAGCUUGUUGGUGGGGUAGUGGCUUACCAAGGCUUUGACGGGUAGCCGGCCUGAGAGGGUGACCGGCCACAUUGGGACUGAGAUACGGCCCAGACUCCUACGGGAGGCAGCAGUGGGGAAUAUUGCACAAUGGGCGGAAGCCUGAUGCAGCAACGCCGCGUGCGGGAUGACGGCCUUCGGGUUGUAAACCGCUUUCGCCUGGGACGAAGCGUGAGUGACGGUAAUGGGUAAAGAAGCACCGGCUAACUGCG